GACGAACGCUGGCGGCGUGCUUAACACAUGCAAGUCGAACGGAAAGGCCCUGCUUUUGUGGGGUGCUCGAGUGGCGAACGGGUGAGUAACACGUGAGUAACCUGCCCUUGACUUUGGGAUAACUUCAGGAAACUGGGGCUAAUACCGGAUAGGAGCUCCUGCUGCAUGGUGGGGGUUGGAAAGUUUCGGCGGUUGGGGAUGGACUCGCGGCUUAUCAGCUUGUUGGUGGGGUAGUGGCUUACCAAGGGUUUGACGGGUAGCCGGCCUGAGAGGGUGACCGGCCACAUUGGGACUGAGAUACGGACCAGACUGCUACGGGAGGCAGCAGUGGGGAAUAUUGCACAAUGGGCGGAAGCCUGAUGCAGCAACGCCGCGUGCGGGAUGACGGCCUUCGGGUUGUAAACCGCUUUCGCCUGUGACGAAGCGUGAGUGACGGUAAUGGGUAAAGAAGCACCGGCUAACUACGUG
Molecule: ribosomal RNA, 468 nt
Filed under: uncultured bacterium
Lineage: Bacteria
Description: partial 16S ribosomal RNA
Rfam family: Bacterial small subunit ribosomal RNA
Source: RNAcentral